RNAcentral lists this ribosomal RNA (301 nucleotides) under uncultured bacterium. Its description in RNAcentral is "partial 16S ribosomal RNA". It matches the Rfam family "Bacterial small subunit ribosomal RNA", at positions 509 to 809 of the family's 1533-position model. The record is from RNAcentral.
CAGCCGCCGCGGGAAUACGGAGGGGGCUAGCGUUGUUCGGAAUUACUGGGCGUAAAGCGCACGUAGGCGGCUUGGUAAGUUAGAGGUGAAAGCCUGGAGCUCAACUCCAGAAUUGCCUUUAAGACUGCCGAGCUAGCAGGUGAGAGAGGUAAGUGGAAUUCCGAGUGUAGAGGUGAAAUUCGUAGAUAUUCGGAAGAACACCAGUGGCGAAGGCGGCUUACUGGCUCAUACUGGACGCUGAGGUGCGAAAGCGUGGGGAGCAAACAGGAUUAGAUACCCCAGUAGUCCCUGUCUCUUAUAU